GUGCCAAGCAGCCGCGGUAAAACCAGCACCUCAAGUGGUCAGGAUGAUUAUUGGGCCUAAAGCAUCCGUAGCCGGCUCUGUAAGUUUUCGGUUAAAUCUGUACGCUCAACGUACAGGCUGCCGGGAAUACUGCAGAGCUAGGGAGUGGGAGAGGUAGACGGUACUCGGUAGGAAGUGGUAAAAUGCUUUGAUCUAUCGAUGACCACCUGUGGCGAAGGCGGUCUACCAGAACACGUCCGACGGUGAGGGAUGAAAGCUGGGGGAGCAAACCGGAUUAGAUACCCGGGUAGUCCCAGCUGUAAACUAUGCAAACUCAGUGAUGCAUUGGCUUGUGGCCAAUGCAGUGCUGCAGGGAAGCCGUUAAGUUUGCCGCCUGGGAAGUACGUACGCAAGUAUGAAACUUAAAGGAAUUGGCGGGGGAGCACCACAAGGGGUGAAGCCUGCGGUUCAAUUGGAGUCAACGCCAGAAAUCUUACCCGGAGAGACAGCAGAAUGAAGGUCAAGCUGAAGACUUUACCAGACAAGCUGAGAGGUGGUGCAUGGCCGUCGCCAGCUCGUGCCGUGAGAUGUCCUGUUAAGUCAGGUAACGAGCGAGAUCCCUGCCUCUAGUUGCCACCAUUACUCUCAGGAGUAGUGGGGCGAAUUAGCGGGACCGCCGCAGUUAAUGCGGAGGAAGGAAGGGGCCACGGCAGGUCUGUGAUGCCC
Molecule: ribosomal RNA, 705 nt
Filed under: uncultured eukaryote
Lineage: Eukaryota
Description: bacterial SSU rRNA
Rfam family: Archaeal small subunit ribosomal RNA
Source: RNAcentral